ACCUGGAUAUGCAGGGCCCACCUGUUUGGGCGGGAUCUUGUUUGUCCAAUGGGUCUUCUUGGAUAGGAGCCAACAUAACCCAAGCAGCUACCGCCCCUUGGGGUCUUCAUCCAGUGUUGAGAUGACCUGGAUUCUGUUCCUGGCAUCCCCAUGGCAGCUCACAGCUGUCUUUAUCUUCUGUCGUCCCAAGUCCAGUCCGUUACUAAACAUCAGACACGAAUCAGCCACGUGAGGCUCAGCCAAAGUGCCCAGGUCCAGCCGGAAUACCACCAGAAGUUCUUUGGUGUUUUUCUAUAAAGCCACGACGGGUGAAGAUCCGUGAAGAAAGCAAGGUGAACCAAUGUAAUAUCGCCAUCAUCAGUUAAAACCAGUGUCAAUGAGGCCCCACAGAGACCGGCAAAGAGUGGUAAGGUCAACCAGUGCCUGACCAUCAACCAUUGUCUGUUGGGUUGUACUUACACUCAUUCCAAACAUCGCAUGUCUUCCUCAAAUGUCUGCUCCAG
RNA transcript from Mus caroli (Ryukyu mouse), 503 nucleotides. It is a transcript of the gene named zinc finger protein 567, with no coding region annotated. The record is from RefSeq and is a predicted model, not a curated record. NCBI's taxonomy places the organism in Eukaryota, Metazoa, Chordata, Mammalia, Rodentia, Muridae.